Molecule: ribosomal RNA, 398 nt
Filed under: uncultured bacterium
Lineage: Bacteria
Description: partial 16S ribosomal RNA
Rfam family: Bacterial small subunit ribosomal RNA
Source: RNAcentral
AAUCUUCCGCAAUGGACGAAAGUCUGACGGAGCAACGCCGCGUGUACGACGAAGGCCUUCGGGUUGUAAAGUUCUGUCCUUGGGGACGAUAAUGACGGUACCCAAGGAGGAAGCCCCGGCUAACUACGUGCCAGCAGCCGCGGUAAUACGUAGGGGGCGAGCGUUGUCCGGAAUUAUUGGGCGUAAAGGGUUCGUAGGCGGUCUUUUAAGUCAGAUGUGAAAGGUCACGGCUCAACCGUGGUAAGCAUUUGAAACUGAAAGACUUGAGUUAAGGAGAGGAAAGUGGAAUUCCUAGUGUAGCGGUGAAAUGCGUAGAUAUUAGGAGGAAUACCAGUGGCGAAGGCGACUUUCUGGACUUAUACUGACGCUGAGGAACGAAAGCGUGGGGAGCAAACAGG